Micropterus dolomieu (smallmouth bass) is the source of this 1504-nucleotide long non-coding RNA. RefSeq lists it as uncharacterized. NCBI's taxonomy places the organism in Eukaryota, Metazoa, Chordata, Actinopteri, Centrarchiformes, Centrarchidae. The record is from RefSeq and is a predicted model, not a curated record. The transcript has 2 exons.
CACAUCAUCUCUUGGCUCUCUUUCCUGCUGCACCUGAAUCUGACUGCCUGCUCCUCCUCUCUGUGUCCUCUGCAUGAACUCUGCUUGAUCGUGCCAUUUCUUCCAUAACCUGACUUUUAUGGAAUAAACUGGUGUUGUUUGUGUUCCGUGCUAAAAACAGGACAUUCUCACUGUGAUGGACUAUAUUGAUGUAUGUUUUGUUAUACAAUUUUCACAAAAUCUGCUUCUAUAUUUUCCUUUGCAGGUGUUUUUCAUGCUAUCUUACUUGCUCACAGACAUGUUCUUCUGCUGAGUCUGGGCAGGAAGGAGCACAAACACUCAGAGCUGUAGAGUUUUCACACUGUGAUCCUAACUUUACACUAUAAAAUAACACUUUAAAUGUAGACCACCAUCGCUCUAGUAACUAAUGAGAACAAUUUAGGCUAUAAUGCUCCAAAAUAAUUCACAACUCUGCCCUGUCUGCCACCUCGAUCCCACAGAAAUCCCACCGACCGUCCAGCCUGCUCGAGUCUUUUCCGGCCGAGCUCCCCGGUGACUUCCUCUCAGUUUCUCACACUGAGGCUGGAUCUGAGCAUAAUACUGCUCUCAUUGGUUGAACUUCCCAUAUAACAUGUAGACACACCGACACCCCCAGACGGUCGCUUGAGCUUCACAGUUUCAUAUUGUGGGAUAUAAAAAGCAAAACCCGACUUCCCAGUUUGUGGAUCCUUCUGUGUAAAUCUGAAGAUAAACCCCUCGGGGACUUCAGUCAGCGCGUUCAUGAUGUUUUAUGUUGGCCAUCACAUUUUGGCAUGGGCAGCAUCCACGGAGGUACGACUGACCAGUACCCUGCGGGCCCCCCGCCUCCCUCAGUCCCAGCUCCUCCAUUUUUACUGAUGUUAAACAUCAAACGUUCCUUCCUCCUUUUGCCUGACGCAUUAAUGAGUCCAGCUACUGCAGGCUGCUCUCCUUUAUGUGCCCGACCUUUAACACUAUACUGCCCCGCCGGUUUCUCCCGUCGAACUGAUAUGGCGUCUCUACCAGUGAAGCCGGGACUGGAGUUGGACGAAGGGCCCCACGACACGGUGUCAGGGCCUCAGCCUGCAUCACUUCCAACCUUUUUAAAUGUGUUUCAGCUGCUGACACAUAACAACCAACCAUAAUCCAGUCCAGACCUUCUCCCUGGCCUGCAGAUCAUUAGUUGUCUACAUGAUUUAUCUGCUCAUCGAAGCGCACAACUCUUUCACCCUCUCUGUGACGGCAGGUGUGGGUCGAGCAGGUUGGAGAAGUCUCGACUCCAGUUCGCCUGUUUGUGAAUUCAGAAGAACUUCCUGUCCGCUGCUGCAUCAGGAGGGCAGCCAGCUUCGUCGUUCGUAGUCUGAGUGAUAUUUUGAUUAACUGAGACCUCUGUUAGUUGUCCAGUGGGAGCAGCUGUGCAACCAUUUUAAAUUGUACUUGAAACAGUCUUCAUACUGUUGGUGUCUUAAAACCCAAAUACAGUUUAACGUAAACUGAUUCAAACCUU